This 801-nucleotide ribosomal RNA is filed under the name uncultured bacterium. Its description in RNAcentral is "bacterial SSU rRNA". It matches the Rfam family "Bacterial small subunit ribosomal RNA", at positions 63 to 872 of the family's 1533-position model. The record is from RNAcentral.
CGGAGAUUUAGGGUAGCUUGCUACCCGAAGAUCUUAGUGGCGGACGGGUGAGUAACGCGUGGGCAAUCUGCCCGUAAGCAGGGGAUAACACUUAGAAAUGAGUGCUAAUACCGCAUAACAUUGUUGGGAUGCAUAUCCCGAUAAUCAAAGGAGAAAUCCGCUUACGGAUGAGCCCGCGUCUGAUUAGCUAGUUGGUAGGGUAACGGCCUACCAAGGCGACGAUCAGUAGCCGGCCUGAGAGGGUGAACGGCCACACUGGAACUGAGACACGGUCCAGACUCCUACGGGAGGCAGCAGUGGGGAAUCUUCCGCAAUGGGCGCAAGCCUGACGGAGCAACGCCGCGUGAGUGAUGACGGCCUUCGGGUUGUAAAACUCUGUCUUCAGGGAAGAAAAAAAUGACGGUACCUGAGGAGGAAGCCACGGCUAACUACGUGCCAGCAGCCGCGGUAAUACGUAGGUGGCAAGCGUUGUCCGGAAUUACUGGGCGUAAAGAGCGCGUAGGCGGGAAUUUAAGUCAGGAGUGAAAACUGGCGGCUCAACUGCCAGCCUGCUCUUGAAACUGGAUUUCUUGAGGGUAUGAGAGGAAAGCGGAAUUCCCAGUGUAGCGGUGAAAUGCGUAGAUAUUGGGAGGAACACCAGUGGCGAAGGCGGCUUUCUGGCAUACAACUGACGCUGAGGCGCGAAAGCGUGGGGAGCAAACGGGAUUAGAUACCCCGGUAGUCCACGCCGUAAACGAUGGGUACUAGGUGUAGGAGGUAUCGACCCCUUCUGUGCCGUAGUUAACACAAUAAGUACCCCGC